UACGUAGGUGGCAAGCGUUGUCCGGAGUUACUGGGCGUAAAGGGCGUGUAGGUGGCUAUUUAAGUCAGGCGUGAAAUCCCUGGGCUUAACCCAGGACCUGCGUUUGAAACUGGAUGGCUAGAGGACCGGAGAGGGUAGUGGAAUUCCCAGUGUAGCGGUGAAAUGCGUAGAUAUUGGGAGGAACACCAGUGGCGAAGGCGACUGCCUGGACGGCACCUGACACUGAGGCGCGAAAGCUAGGGGAG
This 245-nucleotide ribosomal RNA is filed under the name uncultured bacterium. Its description in RNAcentral is "partial 16S ribosomal RNA". It matches the Rfam family "Bacterial small subunit ribosomal RNA", at positions 524 to 768 of the family's 1533-position model. The record is from RNAcentral.